This 312-nucleotide ribosomal RNA is filed under the name uncultured Glomeromycotina. RNAcentral's name for it is "LSU rRNA". Lineage: Eukaryota; Fungi; Glomeromycota. The record is from RNAcentral.
UUGAAAGGGAAACGAUUGAAGUCAGUCAUGCCGGUGGGAAUCAACUUAGGGGAAACUCUAGGUGCACUUCUUCGCUUGGCAGGUCAACGUCGAUUUUGAAUGUCAUAAAAUAAUUGGGGGAAGGUAGCUCCUUCGGGAGUGUUAUAGCCCUUGAUAGAUGUGAUGUUUGAGGUCGAGGAUUGCAACGGAUACCCUUUGGGGCUAGCUGCCUGAUCUCUAAUUGGUGUUGGGUUACGGAUAGCAUGCUGACCGUUUUCUAAUUACUGGUUAAAAGGUUAGAGUGUGCAUAAAUUCGUUAAGGAUGUUGACGUA